GCGAUGUCCCCCCCCACGUGUUGCUGACAGCAAUUGGCUAAGGGGCUGCGGCUCUCCGAAUACCCUCUCCCGCCCGGGACUGUGAAUGGACACCGGCGUUGUCAGUCACCGGUACCGCGCCGCGUGCGGGCCCUCCGCGGUCUUUCUUUCCGCCUUUCGCCGUUCAUUCCGACUUCAUCCCGGGCAAGUUCAGGGCAGCACGGGGCAGCAGAGGCGAGGGCCUUCAGCAGGGGAAGGCGGCCCGCGCGGCCCUGCUGUGACCUUCGCUUAUGUGAGGGGUGGGAUGCCCUGCUGGCCCAGCCUUGCCCUGCCCAUCAGUCUCCGAGGACCUCUGUGGGAGGACCUGGCCGCGGGCCCUGGGGUCCUAGAGCCAGGAGCACAGGCUGAAGCUCAGAGUAAGCUCUUUCAGUGCGUCUUGUCACUUACAAGCUACCGGUCCAUUAUAACCGUCUGGAGACAGCCUUUCCCUUCAAUUGCUCUGGAAUUAAAAGCAGAACAACAAUGCAGUGACUUUUGUGAGUUUUUUUAA
This 529-nucleotide long non-coding RNA is filed under the name Chinchilla lanigera (long-tailed chinchilla). Its description in RNAcentral is "lncRNA (ENSCLAG00000026195.1)". Lineage: Eukaryota; Metazoa; Chordata; Mammalia; Rodentia; Chinchillidae. The record is from RNAcentral.